Molecule: unclassified non-coding RNA, 150 nt
Filed under: soil metagenome
Description: partial internal transcribed spacer 1
Source: RNAcentral
UAAUAAGUGCUUUUAUGGCACUUUUUUAAAUCCAUAUCCACCUUGUGUGCAAUGUCAGUCGAUCUUCUUUCAUGGAGAUCGGACCAAACAUCAACCAUUAUCUUUUAACUCUUUGUCUGAAAAAAUAUUAUGAAUAAACAAUUCAAAAUA